Molecule: ribosomal RNA, 253 nt
Filed under: uncultured bacterium
Lineage: Bacteria
Description: partial 16S ribosomal RNA
Rfam family: Bacterial small subunit ribosomal RNA
Source: RNAcentral
GACAGAGGAUGCAAACGUUGCUCGGAAUUACUGGGCGUAAAGCGCGCGCAGGCGGUCCCGUAAGUCGGGUGUGAAAGCCCCGGGCUCAACCCGGGAAGUGCACUCGAUACUGCGAGACUGGAGUACUGGAGAGGAGAGCGGAAUUCUCGGUGUAGAGGUGAAAUUCGUAGAUAUCGGGAGGAACACCAGCGGCGAAGGCGGCUCUCUGGACAGAUACUGACGCUGAGGCGCGAAAGCGUGGGAAGCAAACAGG